Molecule: ribosomal RNA, 253 nt
Filed under: uncultured bacterium
Lineage: Bacteria
Description: partial 16S ribosomal RNA
Rfam family: Bacterial small subunit ribosomal RNA
Source: RNAcentral
UACGGGGGGGGCAAGCGUUAUUCGGAAUUAUUGGGCGUAAAGGGCGCGUAGGCGGCUAUUCAAGUGGCGGGUGAAAUCCCUCGGCUUAACCGAGGAACUGCCUGCCAGACUGGAUGGCUUGAGACCGGGAGAGGUGAGUGGAAUUCCCAGUGUAGCGGUGAAAUGCGUAGAUAUUGGGAGGAACACCAGUGGCGAAGGCGGCUCACUGGACCGGUACUGACGCUGAGGCGCGAAAGCGUGGGGAGCAAACAGG